Callithrix jacchus (white-tufted-ear marmoset) is the source of this 107-nucleotide small nuclear RNA. The record is from Ensembl. NCBI's taxonomy places the organism in Eukaryota, Metazoa, Chordata, Mammalia, Primates, Cebidae.
GUGCUCACUUCGGCAGCACAUAUACUAAAAUUGGGAUGAUACAGAGAAGAUUAGCAUGGCCCCUGCACAAGGAUGACACGAAAAUUUGUGAAGCGGUCCAUGUUACA